RNAcentral lists this ribosomal RNA (314 nucleotides) under uncultured eukaryote. RNAcentral describes it as "partial 18S ribosomal RNA". It matches the Rfam family "Eukaryotic small subunit ribosomal RNA", at positions 1470 to 1796 of the family's 1831-position model. The record is from RNAcentral.
CCCUUAGAUGUUCUGGGCCGCACGCGCGCUACAAUGGCAGACUCAGCGAGUUACCUCUGUCGAAAGGCACAGGGAAUCUUUACAGUAUCUGCCGUGAUGGGGAUAGACCCUUGUAAUUUUUGGUCUUCAACGAGGAAUUCCUAAUAAACGCAAGUCAUUAACUUGCAUUGAUUACGUCCCUGCCCUUUGUACACACCGCCCGUCGCACCUACCGAUUGAAUGGUCCGGUGAAGUCCUCGGACCCAGUUGAACCUCGAGUUGAACAGGGAAAGUUGACUAAAUCUUACCAUUUAGAGGAAGGUGAAGUCGUAACA